GAUAGGGAGCCACUGGAGUUUAUUGGAAAGUUUAUUGGUCAGUUCUACACAUUAAGAAGAUGGUUCUGGUUGCUGAGUGAAGGAUGGGUUGGAGUAGGAAAAGCCUGGUAGCAGAGAAGCCAACCAGCUACCGUGAUAUACCAGUAUGAGCAGAUUACCAGCUCUGGCAGGUGAUAUCAAGUUGACAAGACUUCAAGGAUGGGCCUGGCAGCAGGCCUAAGGAUCAUCCUAGCUAAGUUUGAAGAGGUUUAUCACAGGAAUGCUGGCUACCAGGAUUUAUUUUUGACUUACAACAACUCAUUAAAAUGUCUUAAGAUAUGUAAAACUUGUCAUCUGCAAUGAUGGAUGGACUGUGCACAAUGAAACAAUAAAUCUUUCGAAGUAAUGAAAUACA
Molecule: long non-coding RNA, 394 nt
Organism: Sarcophilus harrisii (Tasmanian devil)
Lineage: Eukaryota; Metazoa; Chordata; Mammalia; Dasyuromorphia; Dasyuridae
Exons: 2
Source: RefSeq, a predicted model, not a curated record